This 484-nucleotide ribosomal RNA is filed under the name uncultured bacterium. Its description in RNAcentral is "partial 16S ribosomal RNA". It matches the Rfam family "Bacterial small subunit ribosomal RNA", at positions 30 to 507 of the family's 1533-position model. The record is from RNAcentral.
AUUGAACGCUGGCGGCAGGCCUAACACAUGCAAGUCGAGCGGAUGAAGGGAGCUUGCUCCUGGAUUCAGCGGCGGACGGGUGAGUAAUGCCUAGGAAUCUGCCUGGUAGUGGGGGAUAACGUCCGGAAACGGGCGCUAAUACCGCAUACGUCCUGAGGGAGAAAGUGGGGGAUCUUCGGACCUCACGCUAUCAGAUGAGCCUAGGUCGGAUUAGCUAGUUGGUGGGGUAAAGGCCUACCAAGGCGACGAUCCGUAACUGGUCUGAGAGGGUGAUCAGUCACACUGGAACUGAGACACGGUCCAGACUCCUACGGGAGGCAGCAGUGGGGAAUAUUGGACAAUGGGCGAAAGCCUGAUCCAGCCAUGCCGCGUGUGUGAAGAAGGUCUUCGGAUUGUAAAGCACUUUAAGUUGGGAGGAAGGGCAGUAAGUUAAUACCUUGCUGUUUUGACGGUACCAACAGAAUAAGCACCGGCUAACUUCGUG